UACGGAGGGUGCUAGCGUUGUUCGGAAUUACUGGGCGUAAAGGGCGCGUAGGCGGCAAUUCAAGUCAUCUGUGAAAUCUCCGGGCUUAACUCGGAAUGGUCAGGUGAUACUGCUUUGCUAGAGUGCAGAAGGGGCAAUCGGAAUUCUUGGUGUAGCGGUGAAAUGCGUAGAUAUCAAGAGGAACACCUGAGGUGAAGACGGGUUGCUGGGCUGACACUGACGCUGAGGCGCGAAAGCUAGGGGAGCAAACGGG
This 253-nucleotide ribosomal RNA is filed under the name uncultured bacterium. RNAcentral describes it as "partial 16S ribosomal RNA". It matches the Rfam family "Bacterial small subunit ribosomal RNA", at positions 524 to 776 of the family's 1533-position model. The record is from RNAcentral.